GCGUCAGUUGUUUAGUGGUAAAAUCCAUCGUUGCCAUCGAUGGGCCCCGCGUUCGAUUCGCGGCUGACGCA
RNAcentral lists this transfer RNA (71 nucleotides) under Immersiella caudata. RNAcentral's name for it is "Cercophora caudata tRNA". It matches the Rfam family "tRNA". Rfam says of the family: Transfer RNA (tRNA) molecules are approximately 80 nucleotides in length. Their secondary structure includes four short double-helical elements and three loops (D, anti-codon, and T loops). Lineage: Eukaryota; Fungi; Ascomycota; Sordariomycetes; Sordariales; Lasiosphaeriaceae. The record is from Rfam by way of RNAcentral.